RNAcentral lists this ribosomal RNA (325 nucleotides) under uncultured eukaryote. RNAcentral describes it as "partial 18S ribosomal RNA". It matches the Rfam family "Eukaryotic small subunit ribosomal RNA", at positions 1470 to 1796 of the family's 1831-position model. The record is from RNAcentral.
CCCUUAGAUGUCCUGGGCCGCACGCGCGCUACACUGAUGCAUUCAACGAGUAUUUCCUUGGCCGAGAGGCCUGGGCAAUCUUUUAAACCUGCAUCGUGAUAGGGAUAGAUUAUUGCAAUUAUUAAUCUUGAACGAGGAAUUCCUAGUAAACGCAAAUCAUCAAUUUGCAUUGAUUACGUCCCUGCCCUUUGUACACACCGCCCGUCGCACCUACCGAUUGAAUGGUCCGGUGAAAUCUCGGGAUUGUGGCCAGUUCACUUUAUUGGGAGUUGGCUGCGGGAACUUGCUUAAACCUUAUCAUUUAGAGGAAGGUGAAGUCGUAACA